UGGUUUUGGCCACCACCACCACCAUUUGGAUAAACGCAGAUGAAGAGCUGCGAAACAUCAUCAGGAAGGCUAAUGUCGCCGAAUUCCCGCGAUCGUCUGCCAGGAAGUGGAAACACCAACGCCCUCACUUCAGACCCCUGGGAUUGGCAGCUACGAAUCCAUGCAUAAUAAAAUCCUCAAAACGAAACACUAA
Molecule: long non-coding RNA, 193 nt
Filed under: Penaeus japonicus
Lineage: Eukaryota; Metazoa; Arthropoda; Malacostraca; Decapoda; Penaeidae
Description: uncharacterized LOC122266267
Source: RNAcentral